AUGGUUCAUAGUUCCUCCUCUAGCUCUAUGCAUAGCAAUUACACACUAUACAACGUACACAAGUACGUACACAUAUUUCAGUAUGAUAUGUAUAUGUAUGUGUGUGUGUGUGUAGCAAUAUCUCUUUAGGUGGACACCGUUGGUGUCGCGCAUGACUUUGUAGAUUCCAAUAAUGUUUUGAUGAGUACUGUUUCGAAUCUCAUACUUAAUAUUGUUCCUGCUGUCAUGCACAAAUGAAAUAACAGUUAUCUUUAAAUAAUAUUUUGAUAAAUCUCUCCUUCACACGAUGAUAAAUUUAUUAAUGCUUCGUGGACCAACUUCGUUUCAGAGU
Molecule: long non-coding RNA, 331 nt
Organism: Arabidopsis thaliana (thale cress)
Lineage: Eukaryota; Viridiplantae; Streptophyta; Magnoliopsida; Brassicales; Brassicaceae
Product: other RNA
Exons: 1
Source: RefSeq